CCUACGGGAGGCAGCAGUGGGGAAUAUUGCGCAAUGGGCGAAAGCCUGACGCAGCGACGCCGCGUGAGGGAUGAAGGUCUUCGGAUCGUAAACCUCUGUCAGCAGGGAAGAACGGUCACUGUGCUAAUCAGCAGUGAAUUGACGGUACCUGCAAAGGAAGCACCGGCUAACUCCGUGCCAGCAGCUGCGGUAAUACGGAGGGUGCGAGCGUUAAUCGGAAUUACUGGGCGUAAAGCGCUCGUAGGCGGUAUGUCAAGUCAAGGGUGAAAUCCCCGCGCUCAACGUGGGAACUGCCUUUGAAACUGGCAAACUGGAGUGUGUGAGAGGAUAGUGGAAUUCCAGGUGUAGGAGUGAAAUGCGUAGAUAUCUGGAGGAACAUCAGUGGCGAAGGCGACUAUCUGGCACAUAACUGACGCUGAGGAGCGAAAGCGUGGGUAGCAAACAGGAUUAGAUACCCUUGUAGUC
This 465-nucleotide ribosomal RNA is filed under the name uncultured bacterium. Its description in RNAcentral is "partial 16S ribosomal RNA". It matches the Rfam family "Bacterial small subunit ribosomal RNA", at positions 338 to 795 of the family's 1533-position model. The record is from RNAcentral.